RNAcentral lists this long non-coding RNA (241 nucleotides) under Chinchilla lanigera (long-tailed chinchilla). RNAcentral's name for it is "lncRNA (ENSCLAG00000023064.1)". The record is from RNAcentral. Lineage: Eukaryota; Metazoa; Chordata; Mammalia; Rodentia; Chinchillidae.
AACAACUCCAGGUGUAUUCAGCUGUGGGGGACCAGAUAGUGAGAAAUGAGGCCUAACUGGCCUCCUCUGUGAGCGCAAAGGAGAAGGGAACAGAUUCAUAGGCUGGUUCUUGGAAGUGGUUCCCAAACAGGGACCGGACCAGGGAAGUCCACCUGGGGGAGAAAUGUAGUAAGUCAGCUACAGGGAAUUCCACAGUGGAGAGGAGUUGGCCGGCAAGAGAAAUACACAAAAAGAAAAGCAA